CAGUAGCCGCGGUAAUACGAAGGGGGCUAGCGUUGCUCGGAAUUACUGGGCGUAAAGGGCGCGUAGGCGGACAGUUCAGUCGGGGGUGAAAGCCCGGGGCUCAACCUCGGAAUUGCCUUCGAUACUGGCUGUCUUGAGUAUGAGAGAGGUGUGUGGAACUCCGAGUGUAGAGGUGAAAUUCGUAGAUAUUCGGAAGAACACCAGUGGCGAAGGCGACACACUGGCUCAUUACUGACGCUGAGGCGCGAAAGCGUGGGGAGCAAACAGGAUUAGAGACCCCAGUAGUCCCUGUCUCUUAUAC
RNAcentral lists this ribosomal RNA (301 nucleotides) under uncultured bacterium. Its description in RNAcentral is "partial 16S ribosomal RNA". It matches the Rfam family "Bacterial small subunit ribosomal RNA", at positions 509 to 807 of the family's 1533-position model. The record is from RNAcentral.